AGAGAAAUUCCGUCUCAAAAAAAAAAAACCAAACAAACACAAAAACUAACAACAACAAAAAACCCUACACUAUUUCUGAGGCCAGCUCAAAAGGUGUUAAUGAUUGCCUUCCCAGUUUCUUGCAGUCAAAAUGAAUUUCGCUCCCUUGGUAUAACGUGUGUGUGCAAAACGUGGUUGCAUGCAUUAUUUUUCAAGGAGAGAGCUGAGUAUGUUCAUAGGCUGAAAGGAAAGCUUCAGUAUAGAGAGAGUUUUCCAUGGAAAGUGAGACAGGGGCAUAGGUGGAUGAGGCCCCAAGGAAUGAGAGGAAAGAAGGUGGGCAGAGCUUUACCCCAGAGGCGAACAGAGGAUGGACGUGGAUCCAGAUAAGACGUCAGCUCGUUCCCUAAAGGUCGUGCUGAAGGAGUAAUGAGGGUGGCCAGUGCGCAGGGGUUUGAGAGGCCCCGUGGAUAUGGUGCUGUGGGGAAAGUAAUUGGCGAUGCUCAAUAGUUCAGGAGAAGAUACUAGGAUGAAUGGUUGCUGUGUGCCACGGUUCUAUAGGCUUUCACGUGUGUUAUCUUAUGUGAUCUUCCGGGGCGCCGGUGUCUCCGUCUUCUGGAUGACCAAUCGGAAGCUCACAGAGAAUAAGUAAUUGGCCCUAAACCACCCACCUAAGGCGUGGCAGAGGCGGGGCCCAAACGCGCGCUCCAGCCCUCGCGCAGGCGCCUUGGAACUCGCCCGCGUGUUGUGACCCAGAAUUCCUGGGGCUGUGGAAGAGACCAUAGGCUCAACAGGAGGGGGAGCCCUGGGUUGCGCGCCGGUCUGCAUCGCUACUUGGCGGAAAGUUCCCAUGAGUCUUUGCCAGCGUCCCCCUCCUUUUGUGACGAAUAGGAUAUCCCGACUCCUUAAGGGCCUGGAGCGCAUAAGUUGUGACCUUUUCAUUCCCGUUGUUAUGGAGGUAGGGUCUCCGCGAAUCUGGGGGUGGUAGCUGCGGGCAAAAGCAAAUAAAGAGCUCGAGCUUCUGUGGUCUCUGGGGAGAUGUUCCCGGGAAGCCUGGCUAGAGGGCAGAGGGCAGCUGUUGAGAUGGCGUGGCUCCCCGCCUCCUGCGCUCGCGUGGCCUUCGGCCCGGUGUUGGACAGCCUGGCAGGGCAGCGGGGGGCUGAAUCCGGCUGCCGUAGAUGAGGCUCAUGGAUCACCCUUUUGUGGUAGGGCCACAUCUGCCAGAGCCUGGAGUCUGCGAAGGCCGGGACCCGGUUCUCCGGCCCGCCGUGGGGAGUGUGCAAACCCGAGAGAGCUGGAUUGCCUGCCCACCGCAGAGUGCUGAAGACGGGGUAGCCAUGAGGUUGCAAAUUCGUGAAGAUAUCAGCAGCAUGUUUGGCAGCUGAGUAUUGGAGCAAGGAGCCUGCCACAAGGUUUUGAGAACAGAGUGCCGUUUUAGAGCUGGCGGCAGCAUCUUAGCCCAAAAGAAGGUUAUAUUCCCAGAGGAUGUCAAUCCCAAGGACCAGUAGCUGCCGUCAGUUUGGAUUAUGAAAACUUUAACCAGCAUCAACAUUGGGUGUAGAAACAUGAUUGCUUUGUGUAUCAGAGGACAUGCUCAGCAGAUCCAAGAGAUAUAUUUGGCAACUUUUUCUAGAAAAGGCACAUUGGGUAUCAUUCAUUACAUUCUUGAGUUUUUUUGGGUUUUUUUUUUUUUUUUUUUUUUUUUUUUUUUGAGACAGUCUUGCUGUGUUGCCCAGGCUGGAAUGUGGUGGCACAAUCACAGCUCAUUGCAGCCUCAAUCACCCAGGCCUAAGCAAUCCUCCUGCCUUGUAGCUGGGACUAUAGCUCACAGCACAUCUGGCUAAAAUUUUUUUUUUGUUGAGGUGGAUUCACUGUGUUACCCAGGCUGGUCUCAAGCUCCUGGGCUCAGAUGGUCCUGCCUCAGCUUCCAAAGGCAUAGGCCACAUUGUAGCUUUGUCCCUUGCCAUCCUGCCCAACGGGGUGCUGUACCUUUUAAUGAAUUAACUUUCAUAAAUUGGUUAUGUUGGUGGGCAAGUUCUUUAAGCUGGAAAUUGUAAAUUCUUCCUGAAAUGUUUUUUCAUGCAGUUACCAUGAACUAAAUACUACAAUAAAGGAUGGUCUUGGGUAUC
Non-coding RNA from Macaca mulatta (Rhesus monkey), 2105 nucleotides. The record is from RefSeq and is a predicted model, not a curated record. NCBI's taxonomy places the organism in Eukaryota, Metazoa, Chordata, Mammalia, Primates, Cercopithecidae.